Molecule: long non-coding RNA, 3111 nt
Filed under: Lynx pardinus (Iberian lynx)
Lineage: Eukaryota; Metazoa; Chordata; Mammalia; Carnivora; Felidae
Source: RNAcentral
GGGGUGCGGACCCGCCGGGGCGCCCCCUGCCCGCGCCCCCCUCGCCGCGGUGGACCCCGCGCGCCGCGCCCGGGCGCUCCCGGGGCGCAGCCGGGGCCCGGGCCGGCCUGGGCCGCGCGGACUCGCCUCCCGCCGCGCCGCGGGCCGGGGGUGAGCGGCGCGGGCGCCGCGACCCGGGGCGGCCGCGACCGUGGGCGGCGGGGCUGGGCGGCCGGGCGGGCGGCCGGGCGGCGCGCGGCCUGCCCCUUCCCCGGGCUCCGGCCACGCGGGCGGGCCGGCGCUGCGCCGCUGGCAACGUGUCGCCGGAACGCUCCUACCCCAUCCGCAUGCCUUACAAGGCUCGAAAGUAAAAAUAAAAAGAAUUACGAUGCGGGCGAGGCUUGCGAGGGGGAGAAGAGAUUCCACUUCUCCCCAACUACGGCGUCCUGGCGGGGCUCCCGGGGCAGUCCCCGGCCCUCCUCCAGCGCCCACCUGGAGCCCCGGGAGGAAAGGCACAAAGGCACCGCAGCCUCCCGCCCCGGUGGCCGCUCCUCCUGUCGUCUGCCGGCGCGUGUCUGCUCGGGGAGGGAGGGUGGCCAUUACAGACAGGCGAGCAGGAGGCCCGUCCUAAAGGCCACGCCGGUGGGGCCUCUCCAGUGGGGAAAUGCUGGGCGCCGCGACCGACUUAUCAACCUCGAGGAAAAAAACCCAGCCUUAUCGCCUUCACAUUUUGAGUUCUCGGGAACCCGACAGACAAUUCGCAGGGCCACCCAGCGACCGGCGCAGCCACCACUCCAAGUCUUUGGGCUCCUCCAAAGGACGGCCACCCACUGCUUAAGCCACACCAACCAGCAGCCUUGGGAGAGGACGAAAGGAGAGUCCAACAGGACACCCUGGUGGUGACAUAAAUAAAAAUAUGAUUGCACACCACUCCCACGUAGCCAAUUCAGUAGGUUCCUCCACAGAGGAGAAGCCCAGGUGACAACCCACCCCCACCCCCACCCCCACCUAAGCCCACCUGAGCCAGCGGGCCGGCCAUCUUGAGCUUUCCGAAAACUGCAGAAAAACCAGCGAGCAGGGUCGAGAAUGAUCUCCCUCUGAAACCCCCCUUGUCUGCAGUCCCUUUUAACCUCCCCGAAAGGGGAGGAAAAAUCCCAAGGGCUUCUCAAUUUUUUUUUUUCCAAAAUAUAAGGAAACCCCAAUAGAUCUGGGAGUCAUUCCUUUUUCACAAAGCCUCAAAGUGGUGGGUGGCAAGUCUUCGGCAAAGGCAUUCCCCCCACAGGCCUUAUCACUUACCAGUUAGUUCUAAGGGCAGAUUCCACCCCGGAGAGGAUUCCAAGGUGGGGGCCCAGGGAAAGCCGGAGGUCAUCCAGCCCCACCCCUUUGAAUUACCGAGCACUUGAUGGGACCUACCCAAACUCAUCAAGCAAGAGGUGUAAGAUGAGAGAAACAAGCUAGAGACGACUGAAGCCUUGCGCCAGAGACUAAGCGUCAGAACUUAGGUGACAAAAGCCCGACUGAGCUCCAGUGGAGACCCUCCUUCAGUGUAUCAGUUGAGGCUGCUGAAUCCCCCAUCAAAGGAAUCAAGGCCAGAGACCUUUGUGCAAGCCCCUUGCCCACCCAGAGAGGAAGAAACACUCCCCUUCCCUCCUCCUCUUGCAUCAUCAGCUCCCAGCCCUCCCCGUGGCCAACUACCCUCACACCGUAGCUAGAGAUCUCUUUACGGGAAGGGAAAUGGCAUGUUCAUUUUCCUUCCAGUCCUUUCUUUGUCCCCAGGGUUCAAGUGCACGGAAUAUGUCCUUCUCAAAAUUCUCCGUGCAAGCUGUUUAGCCUCCUGUGUCCAAACCGGCCAUCCUAACGUGAACAAAACCUUUAAAACAGGUAAGCCUUGGGGCAGGAGAAGCCCUAGGCAGCCGGUGGGGUAAGGUGAGACAAGCUGUCUUUUAUUAGCCUGCCUUUCUUCUGCAUGUUUUUGGUUUCUUCCAUUCUCCAACGUACAGACCUGCCUCAGCUGAGGAUGGGGUAAACCUCCCAAUAAGCCCAUCUUUAAGUUGAAAAUAUCCCUAAGUCGACAACGCAUCUAACAUACCUAACCGGCCCAACAUCACCGCUCAGCCUAGCUAAGCUUGAACGUGCACCUUGAACGCGCACAGAACACUUACAUUAGCCUCAACGGGGCAAAAUCAUCUAACGCCAAGUGUUGAAUACCUCAUCCAACUUCUUGACUACCGUACAGAAAGCGAAAAACCGAAUGGUUGUGCAGGUACAGAAUGGCUGUAGUGUAUCAGUUGCUUACCCCACUGACGGUGUGGCCACUGGGAGCUGGGGCUUUGCCGCGUCCCGAGAGAGGAUCGUAAGGUACCUCACUAGCUCAGGGAAAGAUCCAAAUCCAGAAUCUGAAGUUUGGUUUCUACCGAAGGUGUAUCGCUCUCACGCCAUCACAAAGUCGAAAACUUGUAUGUCCAACGAUCGUUAAGUCAGGGACCAUCUGUGUGCCUUAAUUUCUCUCUCCCGUUACAAACGUGGCAAGAGAGGUCACUCUGAAGAGGGAGCGGCGGACCAGCACUGCCUGGUGUGGAGACCAGACUACUCCACUCAUGUCUGCCUCCCUGUCUCUCUGAAAUGGGGGGGGGGGGAUCCACAUAUUUGCCCAAAGCCAAAGGAAGGCUCAGAGUGGCCUCUCCACCUCUUAAUUCCGUCCAACCCCAGCUCUGGAACAUGCUCCCUGACAAAAGGGUGCAGCGGCCAAAUUCUUCAGAACGACUCCAUUUUCAACUCCCCUCUUGAACUUUUCAAAAAGCACCCUUGUGCCUUAGACCCUGAGAAGUCUCCAAACACCGAGUGGAACUGUUGAAACCAUUGUUCUAUAAACACGUUUGACAGAAGAAUCCUGCGUGUGCCCUGGAACUCACUUUGGGCGACACUUUACUUCCUGGCUGGGGACCUGCUGGGACCUUUCGACAGCGCCUUCUGGGCAUGGGCCCGAGGCACACGUGUGUCUGGACUCCAGCCCUGUGGGUCCCCAGUCAGUGUGGAACUUCAGGCUCCUCCUGUGUGCAGAGUGCCCCUCCCCCUGACGUUUUGUUCUUUCUUCUCCCACAGGCUUCUCUGCCCCGCAACAUGAAAGCCCCU